UGCAGUUGAAUUAGAUCCUGGUGACCCCGGUGCAGCUGCUGCUCCCCCGGGUCCUGAUGCCCCUGCUCCCCCGGGUCCUGGUGAAGUCGCUGCUCCACCAGGUCCUGGUGCCGGAGGACCACCUGCUGCGGUAGAUGGACCACCUGCUGGUGAAAGAGCUGGUGGUCCACCUGCCGGAGAAGGAGAUGAAGCCAUAGGUCCACCAGCCGGAGGUGUGCUGACAACUGGAGAAGGAGAUGAUGCCAUAGGUCCACCAGCCGGUGGUGUGCUCACUACUGGAGAUGGAGAUGAUGCCGUAGGACCGCUGGUCGGAACAGGGGAGCUUGCUGGAGGAAUAGCCACUGGAGAUGGUGGUGAACCAGAGGGUGAUGGAGUGGUUGUCGUUGGUGACGGUGAAGGUGGUGACAAUCCACCAGCACUUGGUGAAGGAGAAGAUUUUGGUGUUCGUGGAGAUAUAACAACAA
This 464-nucleotide long non-coding RNA is filed under the name Medicago truncatula (barrel medic). RNAcentral describes it as "long non-coding RNA (MTRU_LNC006245)". Lineage: Eukaryota; Viridiplantae; Streptophyta; Magnoliopsida; Fabales; Fabaceae. The record is from RNAcentral.